GAUGAACGCUGGCGGCGUGCCUAAUACAUGCAAGUCGAGCGAACAGACGAGGAGCUUGCUCCUCUGACGAUAGCGGCGGAGGUGUGAGUAACACGUGGAUAACCUACCUAUAAGACUGGGAUCACUUCGGGACACCGGCGCUAAUACCGGAUAAUAUAUUGAACCGCAUGGUUCAUUAGUGAAAGACGGUUGUGCUGUCACUUAUAGAUGGAUCUACGCCGCAUUAGCUAGUUGGUCAGUUAAAGGCUUACCAAGGCAACGAUGCGUAGCCGACCUGAGGGGCGGGUCGGCCACACUGGAACGGGAACACGGUCCAGACUCCUACGGGAGGGAGCAGUAGGGAAUCUUCGGCAAUGGGCGAAAGCCUUACGGAGCAGCGCCGCGUGAGUGGUGAAGAUCUUCGGAUCGUAAAACUCUGUUAUUAGGGAAGAACAGAUGUGUAAGUAACUGUGCACGUCUUGACGGUACCUAAUCAGAAAGCCACGGCUAACUACGUG
RNAcentral lists this ribosomal RNA (497 nucleotides) under uncultured bacterium. RNAcentral's name for it is "partial 16S ribosomal RNA". It matches the Rfam family "Bacterial small subunit ribosomal RNA", at positions 28 to 507 of the family's 1533-position model. The record is from RNAcentral.